Non-coding RNA from Equus caballus (horse), 2067 nucleotides. The record is from RefSeq and is a predicted model, not a curated record. Lineage: Eukaryota; Metazoa; Chordata; Mammalia; Perissodactyla; Equidae.
AAUGGGUGCUUCAUUCGGAGUAAAGUCUCAAGGAGUCUCAUUCCUGAUUUGAAGUGACCCACAUGGGUUCACAGUUCUCUCUCAGAACACGUACUCCUUUGAUUUUCUUGAAAGCCUUUGGAAAGCCUUGGGACACCUGUAGGUUCCACUGUGUGCCUGGAAGUAAAGGAUUCCGAGACGGUCGAGGCACAAGUUGGGAGAGCCUGACCCCUGAGCCACUGCUGAGAGGACAUCCUUCUGGGAGAGUAGCUGACCUGCACUGGACCUUGUGAACAUGAGAAACAAAUUUUCACUUUGCAAUCAGUAUGGACUCUGUUGGAAUGUAAUGUGUCAAUUUGGUUUCAUGCCUCAUCACACUGGCAGAUAGAAGAGGGUAAUGGCUGCUUUGGGGAGUGGAGGAAGCCAAAAAGAAGGCAAAGAGUGAAGACAGAGAAACAAGAUGUCAGUGGUGGUGCUGAGAAGGAAUAGAGAGACUUUUCUUCGUGCUAAGGGCCGCAGAGGGAGGAAUCCAGCUGAGGACUACACAGAAGCAUCUGGCUCCAGGAAUAACAGAUCAAAUGGUGACGAACUCCUUCAAAAUGGUCCCCAAGGCUUCACUGUGGAUGAAAGGAAGAAGUCAAUGCCUUUGCUCAAAGAGAAAAAAUGUUUUUCUGUUUGAUUGUUGAUGAGCAUUCCUGCCUUGAGAAAAAGAAGGCUAAUUGUGUAUGCUGGCAAAGCAUGUGUAUGCUCAUGACUGCUAGGAAUCAAGAGCCAUGAAUACGAACUUCCCAUUGCUCCCCGUUGCAUGCCAGAAGAUGUUUCACUUUGGAAUGCUCCUCCAUCUGACCCUGGGACUGGCUUUACUAAAAUGAGUGUUGGAAUGUCUACCCCCAUAAGAAAGCAUCCAGACUCACCACUUACUGGACAUAUCCUGCAGAAUUGAGGCUUUCUAGGCCUGCCCAGCUUGGUCAAUUUUUCCAUCAAGCCAGAGACAUGUGCUCAAUUUGGAAAGAAUCAGGGAUCCACUAGUACUCUCCCAGGCUAUUGUGCUAGACAGACAUAUAAAUGGAUAAUUGCAGCAUGGAGUGAAAAAAGCAUAAUGAUGUUGGUGCUGUGAUAGAAGGACACACACUAAGCCCCAGAUUAUUGAGAAAUCCUCAGCCUGGCCAGGCCCUGGUGAGUAUAACUUCCAGUAUCUCGACCUUUGCACUCUCUGUGGGUGCUCAGGAAAUGAGAGAGGAUUUAUAGAAUGUCCUCCCCACUUUUUCUAAUUAUGGUUUUAUUUCUUGUCAAAGGGAGAAUAUUUUCCUACAUGUCACAUCCUCAACUUUGAUAUAUUAUCCAAGAUAAGUUACAGCAGCAGCUCUUACUUCUCCAGAUGUUAGCUCCUACUUGGGUGGCUGAAUAGCUUUCAUCCUUGAGACCAGAAAAAGUCUCAUCUUCAGAAACAAUGCUAUGAUGCACUAACAACACUAAAUUAAUUUCCUGUCUUGGGUGGGUCCAGAGCAUUCCAGUAAGGUCACAAGUAUGUUAUGGACUGUGAAAGAGUAAAAAAUAUGCUCCCUUCUUUUGCAAGCUUCCCCAAGAUCCAUGUGAAUGAAGCACACUGACCUCAUGCUUUCAUGUAAAGUAUUAUUGAUAUCAGAGCUGGCAGAGGAAAAGGAUGACUGGGCCAGGCAAGGACUGAGCAGGGAGGCGCUGUUAGCAUAUUUUGACAUUCGGCCUGUCUCUGGCUGAGAACCUUGAAGAUCAUCCAUGCUUAUCCCUCUGAAUAUAGAUUUCUUUUCCUUAGGAAUAGAAUUUUCAGCAGGACACCCAUAAGCAAGCUGUGACGUGCACUCAUAGCCAGCAAGUGGCUCUCUGAGGGUUCCACCCAUCAUGAUCAUCACCGGGUUAUCUUUGCAUCUUCCCUCAGUCCUGAGUCUCUACUCCACUCAUUCUAGUUGUCUGACGGUACAGGCUGCACAGAGUCAAUCAAGCAAGCAUCUAUCUAUAGGGCCCAGUUAUGGGCCUAGUGCUAUGUAUCUUCUUCUUUUUUUUUUCCCUAAGGAUUGGCACCUGAGCUAACAUCUGUUGCCAAUCUUCUUC